GUUCUUGUAGUUAAAGUUUAUAACGGCGGUUUUUCAGGCCGCAGGUCUCAGGGAAGGGCUGAGCAAGAACU
This 71-nucleotide transfer RNA is filed under the name Alaudala cheleensis (Asian short-toed lark). RNAcentral's name for it is "tRNA-Glu". It matches the Rfam family "tRNA". From Rfam's summary of the family: Transfer RNA (tRNA) molecules are approximately 80 nucleotides in length. Lineage: Eukaryota; Metazoa; Chordata; Aves; Passeriformes; Alaudidae. The record is from RNAcentral.